RNAcentral lists this ribosomal RNA (450 nucleotides) under uncultured bacterium. RNAcentral describes it as "partial 16S ribosomal RNA". It matches the Rfam family "Bacterial small subunit ribosomal RNA", at positions 354 to 796 of the family's 1533-position model. The record is from RNAcentral.
GUGGGGAAUAUUGGACAAUGGGCGCAAGCCUGAUCCAGCCAUACCGCGUGGGUGAAGAAGGCCUUCGGGUUGUAAAGCCCUUUUGUUGGGAAAGAAAUCCUGUCGGUUAAUACCUGGCGGGGAUGACGGUACCCAAAGAAUAAGCACCGGCUAACUUCGUGCCAGCAGCCGCGGUAAUACGAAGGGUGCAAGCGUUACUCGGAAUUACUGGGCGUAAAGCGUGCGUAGGUGGUGGUUUAAGUCCGUUGUGAAAGCCCUGGGCUCAACCUGGGAAGUGCAGUGGAUACUGGAUCACUAGAGUGUGGUAGAGGGAUGCGGAAUUUCUGGUGUAGCAGUGAAAUGCGUAGAGAUCAGAAGGAACAUCCGUGGCGAAGGCGGCAUCCUGGGCCAACACUGACACUGAGGCACGAAAGCGUGGGGAGCAAACAGGAUUAGAAACCCUUGUAGUCC